Long non-coding RNA from Frankliniella occidentalis (western flower thrips), 1915 nucleotides. RefSeq lists it as uncharacterized. The record is from RefSeq and is a predicted model, not a curated record. The transcript has 3 exons. NCBI's taxonomy places the organism in Eukaryota, Metazoa, Arthropoda, Insecta, Thysanoptera, Thripidae.
GCGCCGCAGGCCAAGGUAGAUGUAUGCCAGGCGCGUCGCAGCGUAACAGUGUUUCGUGAAAUUUCGCAAAGCCUGUUACGCGAGACGUGGUCUGGCGUACAUUUACCUUGUUCUUAAAUCAAGAAUGGCGUUCUCUGGGUAAGAGAUUAUUGGGACUGAUUCAAAAGAACGACGUUGUGGAAGGCGACGACACUUACAAAAUUAGACCAUACCUGAACAAGUCAAAACACGUCUUUAUGGUAUCAUUACACACCAAUGGCCAAGUAACUGUACGGAGUAGAGAUAGCGGUUGACGCAGAAUUUACAAUUGCUUUUAGUGAAAGAAUGUAAUUUUAAUCUGUCCUCUUUUUUCUUAACCAAUUGUAUCCAUCCAUUUGCGUACGCCGCGAUGACUACGGGCACCGCCACGGCGUACGCAGCUGUCCUUGAAGAACUGAAGGAGUUCGGACUCUGUCCUAAGGCAGUGGUAACAGACUAGGACGACGCCCAACGGGCUGGGUGGAAGAUGACAGUUCCAAGAAUUCAGACGUGGGGCUGCUAUUUCCACUUUCUGCGAGCCCUGUAGAGACAGGCGGAGGAGCAUGGGUUGGCCCAGUACAUGAGGGAUAGGACAGGAGGAGUGAGUCAACUUUUACGCAUGCUCGCAGCCAUACCCCGCCUUGAAAAUAAGUACAGAAGGGAGGCAUUCGACAUGAUCGUAAGACGGACAACUGACCUGAAAGACGCGACGGCCGACGAACCGACUAAACUACUACUAUUCCUGAACUACUUCAGGAAAGAAUGGAUUGACGGCAACAAGCCAGAGGCGUUAUCACUCCGCAAACGUCACGUGCAUCCGACGGGCGGGCAAGAGUCACUCCAUAGAAACUUUAACACCAUGCUCAAUAACUAUGGCCGUCCCAGUUGGAUGGAAAUUUUUAACGCUUACACGACGUAUGGAGGACGAGAAAUAUCACAAUCUUUCACACCACACUAGACUGGACACAAGACUGGGAAGGAGCAAUUCAACCACAGUGGACUACUUUUCGACCAGGACAUUAAAGACGCGUACACUGACUCCGAACUAAACGAAAACCUGAGUAGCUUCCUCACCUUGGCGGCAAAAAAAGUGCGCCAGCAUGUGGAAAUUUUUGAAGACUUCGGCGAUGAUUUGGAGCUUCCCGAGUAAGUAUAAUUGGCUGAGCGAUUAGCGAAGCCUAUUACUCCAGUGAUGAUCAAAGAGUUUCGGCUCUGUCUGUGUGUCUGUCUGUGCGCACGAUAACUCGAGAGCGAUCAGACGGUUCCGGCAGUGCCCGUUUACAGAAGAAUUCAGGAAAUCACCACCGGAAACAGUUCUGAAAUACAGGUUAAAACUAAUGCAAAUGAACCUUGACAGUUACUAGGGAGGGAGGUACUUGAGUUCAUUUGCGUCGAUCCGCAUUGUCAAAUAAGAAAAAUAGGCGAAAUUAAGUACUGGUUCCGGUGCCGAAUUCCUUACUUCUUCACGAAACGCGCACAGCCGGAUCCGUCUAUGAGCUAGCGACCUGGGAUUUUCAGGGUCGUUUUAUGUUAUAAAGAGACAGAUCGAGUUCGAAAAACAUUCUAGCUCAAAAGUUGGAUUAUUAAAAAAUGAAAAACCACAGGUUCCACAAGUAAUGUUUUUUUAAACAGAUUUUAUUAAGACGAUCCGCAUUGGGGCUUUUGUAGGGUCGUGUCAGAAAAGACGGACGACAACAACGCACAAGGCCGUUAAUAUCAGAACAAAAAGUGGUUACCACUAUAGUUCUAGAAAGCAAUAACGUAUUUACUUCGUAACAAUAAUUUUGUAUAAGAUUUUCUUUUAUUCGGAUCGUCUAUUUGUUAACACGGAGUGUUAACGAGAUUUGUUACCUCUCAUAAAUCUUUACAUUUUAAAAUACUAGGUAGAUGUACGCCA